This 2902-nucleotide ribosomal RNA is filed under the name Escherichia coli. RNAcentral's name for it is "23S ribosomal RNA". It matches the Rfam family "Bacterial large subunit ribosomal RNA". Lineage: Bacteria; Pseudomonadati; Pseudomonadota; Gammaproteobacteria; Enterobacterales; Enterobacteriaceae. The record is from RNAcentral.
UUAAGCGACUAAGCGUACACGGUGGAUGCCCUGGCAGUCAGAGGCGAUGAAGGACGUGCUAAUCUGCGAUAAGCGUCGGUAAGGUGAUAUGAACCGUUAUAACCGGCGAUUUCCGAAUGGGGAAACCCAGUGUGUUUCGACACACUAUCAUUAACUGAAUCCAUAGGUUAAUGAGGCGAACCGGGGGAACUGAAACAUCUAAGUACCCCGAGGAAAAGAAAUCAACCGAGAUUCCCCCAGUAGCGGCGAGCGAACGGGGAGGAGCCCAGAGCCUGAAUCAGUGUGUGUGUUAGUGGAAGCGUCUGGAAAGGCGCGCGAUACAGGGUGACAGCCCCGUACACAAAAAUGCACAUGCUGUGAGCUCGAUGAGUAGGGCGGGACACGUGGUAUCCUGUCUGAAUAUGGGGGGACCAUCCUCCAAGGCUAAAUACUCCUGACUGACCGAUAGUGAACCAGUACCGUGAGGGAAAGGCGAAAAGAACCCCGGCGAGGGGAGUGAAAAAGAACCUGAAACCGUGUACGUACAAGCAGUGGGAGCACAGAGCAAUCUGUGUGACUGCGUACCUUUUGUAUAAUGGGUCAGCGACUUAUAUUCUGUAGCAAGGUUAACCGAAUAGGGGAGCCGAAGGGAAACCGAGUCUUAACCGGGCGUUAAGUUGCAGGGUAUAGACCCGAAACCCGGUGAUCUAGCCAUGGGCAGGUUGAAGGUUGGGUAACACUAACUGGAGGACCGAACCGACUAAUGUUGAAAAAUUAGCGGAUGACUUGUGGCUGGGGGUGAAAGGCCAAUCAAACCGGGAGAUAGCUGGUUCUCCCCGAAAGCUAUUUAGGUAGCGCCUCGUGAAUUCAUCUCCGGGGGUAGAGCACUGUUUCGGCAAGGGGGUCAUCCCGACUUACCAACCCGAUGCAAACUGCGAAUACCGGAGAAUGUUAUCACGGGAGACACACGGCGGGUGCUAACGUCCGUCGUGAAGAGGGAAACAACCCAGACCGCCAGCUAAGGUCCCAAAGUCAUGGUUAAGUGGGAAACGAUGUGGGAAGGCCCAGACAGCCAGGAUGUUGGCUUAGAAGCAGCCAUCAUUUAAAGAAAGCGUAAUAGCUCACUGGUCGAGUCGGCCUGCGCGGAAGAUGUAACGGGGCUAAACCAUGCACCGAAGCUGCGGCAGCGACACUGUGUGUUGUUGGGUAGGGGAGCGUUCUGUAAGCCUGUGAAGGUGUGCUGUGAGGCAUGCUGGAGGUAUCAGAAGUGCGAAUGCUGACAUAAGUAACGAUAAAGCGGGUGAAAAGCCCGCUCGCCGGAAGACCAAGGGUUCCUGUCCAACGUUAAUCGGGGCAGGGUGAGUCGACCCCUAAGGCGAGGCCGAAAGGCGUAGUCGAUGGGAAACAGGUUAAUAUUCCUGUACUUGGUGUUACUGCGAAGGGGGGACGGAGAAGGCUAUGUUGGCCGGGCGACGGUUGUCCCGGUUUAAGCGUGUAGGCUGGUUUUCCAGGCAAAUCCGGAAAAUCAAGGCUGAGGCGUGAUGACGAGGCACUACGGUGCUGAAGCAACAAAUGCCCUGCUUCCAGGAAAAGCCUCUAAGCAUCAGGUAACAUCAAAUCGUACCCCAAACCGACACAGGUGGUCAGGUAGAGAAUACCAAGGCGCUUGAGAGAACUCGGGUGAAGGAACUAGGCAAAAUGGUGCCGUAACUUCGGGAGAAGGCACGCUGAUAUGUAGGUGAAGUCCCUCGCGGAUGGAGCUGAAAUCAGUCGAAGAUACCAGCUGGCUGCAACUGUUUAUUAAAAACACAGCACUGUGCAAACACGAAAGUGGACGUAUACGGUGUGACGCCUGCCCGGUGCCGGAAGGUUAAUUGAUGGGGUCAGCGCAAGCGAAGCUCUUGAUCGAAGCCCCGGUAAACGGCGGCCGUAACUAUAACGGUCCUAAGGUAGCGAAAUUCCUUGUCGGGUAAGUUCCGACCUGCACGAAUGGCGUAAUGAUGGCCAGGCUGUCUCCACCCGAGACUCAGUGAAAUUGAACUCGCUGUGAAGAUGCAGUGUACCCGCGGCAAGACGGAAAGACCCCGUGAACCUUUACUAUAGCUUGACACUGAACAUUGAGCCUUGAUGUGUAGGAUAGGUGGGAGGCUUUGAAGUGUGGACGCCAGUCUGCAUGGAGCCGACCUUGAAAUACCACCCUUUAAUGUUUGAUGUUCUAACGUGGACCCGUGAUCCGGGUUGCGGACAGUGUCUGGUGGGUAGUUUGACUGGGGCGGUCUCCUCCUAAAGAGUAACGGAGGAGCACGAAGGUUGGCUAAUCCUGGUCGGACAUCAGGAGGUUAGUGCAAUGGCAUAAGCCAGCUUGACUGCGAGCGUGACGGCGCGAGCAGGUGCGAAAGCAGGUCAUAGUGAUCCGGUGGUUCUGAAUGGAAGGGCCAUCGCUCAACGGAUAAAAGGUACUCCGGGGAUAACAGGCUGAUACCGCCCAAGAGUUCAUAUCGACGGCGGUGUUUGGCACCUCGAUGUCGGCUCAUCACAUCCUGGGGCUGAAGUAGGUCCCAAGGGUAUGGCUGUUCGCCAUUUAAAGUGGUACGCGAGCUGGGUUUAGAACGUCGUGAGACAGUUCGGUCCCUAUCUGCCGUGGGCGCUGGAGAACUGAGGGGGGCUGCUCCUAGUACGAGAGGACCGGAGUGGACGCAUCACUGGUGUUCGGGUUGUCAUGCCAAUGGCACUGCCCGGUAGCUAAAUGCGGAAGAGAUAAGUGCUGAAAGCAUCUAAGCACGAAACUUGCCCCGAGAUGAGUUCUCCCUGACCCUUUAAGGGUCCUGAAGGAACGUUGAAGACGACGACGUUGAUAGGCCGGGUGUGUAAGCGCAGCGAUGCGUUGAGCUAACCGGUACUAAUGAACCGUGAGGCUUAACCU